CUCUCACACACAUACACACUCUCGCUCUCUCUCUCUCUCUCACACACACACACACACACACACACACACACACACACACACACACACACACACACACACACACACACACACACAAGGCGUGUGUCAUGGUGAAUCAGGGAAGAUGCUAUAUUGAAAAACUGCUCUGCCAAGAAGGUUAGAAAACAGAGGGUUUCCAGUAAAGCUGAUAGGUUACUUGAGUGUUUAAUCCUUGAAGGCUCCACGGUUAACAAUUUGGGAUUGAGAGUCAGUGCUUUUCAAGAAGAAAUGGCAGAGGGCCAAUGUUUUGGUUGCUUCCGCCCAAACAAUCUCCUCCCUCAAUCUCUAACUAAAGGUUCCACUCCGUUUUGACUGUCAGGAACUUUCUGUCCAGGGACGUUAUCUGAGAGGCAGCCCUGGCGAUCGGAAACUGCUCCUGGAGGUAGUUUAAAUGUUAAUUACAGUUUUUUACAAUCUCUAGGACCCAUUUCUCAAUACUUAGGUCACUUUUUCAAAACUCUUCUCACAGUGAGCACAACAGUGAGCACAACAGCAGUCUAUGUGGGCUAAACUGUGGAUCAUUUUCAUUGCUUUGGCACAAAAUGCAUUCAAUGACUACAUCUUCCAAUUUUCAUGAAUUCUUUUCUAACUCAGACACAACCACCACCAAACUCUAUGUACCUACAGGCCAAUUUGCACAUGUUUACAUACUCUUUUCAAAACUGUUAAACUUAAGUACAAAACCUAAAAUAACACAAAAUUGAAUAAGACAGAAAUCUGCUACAUUUCUACAGUAAUACCGUAUUGAAAUAUAUUCCAAAUCUAAAAAAUGAAUUACUAUCAAAACAAUUAGACCAACCACAGCUGAUUCCCAUUGCAGCUGAACACCUACCCAGGUGUUAGUCUUCCAAUUACAUUACCAUCUAUACAAAAGGGGACAUUUUAGGAAUAGUGCUGUACUGUAAUGUAAGCAUGGACCCAGCCAGAGAUAGAGAAGUGGCUGACAGAGGAAGAAGAGUGGCUGGGAGAGGGAGAGGGAGAGGGGUACGUACGCGUGGUGGAAGAAGACUGAGAGGAAGAUGAAGAGCCGUAGUCUCAGAUGAGAUUAGGGCUACUAUAAUUGAUCAUGUAAUAAAUCAUGGUCUAUCAACGAGAGAGGCUGGUCUGAGAGUGCAGCCAAAUCUGCAACGCUCAACAGUGGCAUCUAUUGUGAGAAAUUUCCAGCAAAACAACUGGACCCAACGGUUACCUCCCACAGGCGGGAAAGGUAGGAUUUUCACUGCUGUGCAGGAAACUGCAAUCGUUGAUAUGGUCAUCAGAAGCAAUGGCAUAAAACUCACAGAGAUUCGGGACGAGUGUUGGCAGACAACAUUACAUUUGGAAAUAUUCACAAUGUAAGCAUUAACAAAUAUUUCUAGAGUCCUGAAACAACAUCAAGUCAGGAUGAAGCAGUUGUACACUGUCCCCUUUGAGAGUAACUCUGAAUGAGUCAAGCAACUCAGGAACCAAUAUGUCCAGAGAGUCAUGGAGAUUGAAGCCAGGCAAACACCCCACAUAUUCAUCUUUGUGGAUGAGGCUGGUUUCAACUUGGCCAAAACACAGCGGCGAGGAAGGAGUGUGAUUGGGAAAAGAACCACAGUGGAUGUCCCGGGCCAGAGGGGUGCCAACAUCACAAUGUGUGCAGCAGUAUCCUCUGAUGGAUUGCUGUUACACAAACCGCUAAUUGGGCCAUACAACACCGAGCAUCUCAUUUAAUUCCUGGGUGACCUCUAUGGAAGGGUUGUGCCAGGUGAGGAAAGGGUUGCAAUGAGGCGAAAUCGGCCAACAUUUGAAAUUGUAUGGGACAAUGUGCCAUUUCACCACUCCCGUGCAGUCACAGAGUGGUUUGCAGGCCAUCCCAGGAUGAUGAUAUUUUUCCUCCCACCUUACUCUCCAUUCCUCAACCCCAUAGAGGAAUUAUUUUCCUCAUGGAGGUGGAAGGUUUAUGACCACCAUCCACAUGAUCAAAUGUCUCUCCUGGACGCAAUGAAUGCUGGAUGCCUGGACAUAUCUGCAGAAGAUUGCCAGGGAUGGACCAGACAUGCCAAAAUAGUAUUUCCUAGGUGUAUUGCCCAAGAUGACAUAAAAUGUGAUGUGGAUGAGAACCUGUGGCCAAAUUCAUAAGACAGGGUUAUCUAGCACUGCUACUGUAUCUGUGUCGGUUGAUGGUGUAUAUACAAAUUAUUGUAUUUUGGAAUCACUCAAUGCCAUAAAAUAACAUAAAACAUAUUGAAGCAUAUUGCAUAAUGUCUGAUAUAUUCCUGUAACAUAUACUACAGUGAAUUCAAAACGGUAGAGAGGUGUCAUUCCUGUUUUGUAAAGAAAUUUGACAAAAGAAAACAUCGCGUAAUGCUACCUGUUGUUAGUGUUUUUAGGUCAUUGUUUUAUGAGCGACAACGUGUGCUUGUUGGGUGACAACCUUUGCUAGUGUUAUGGAAGAACGAGUUGAUUUGAGACAUGUAUGAAGUGUUUUGGUAGUUUUAGGGCAUUUUGAAGAUGAAAUGAACUGCUGUGCCAAGCUGAAAGUUAGUUAGGAGAACUGUGUGAAGAGUUUUGAAAAAGUGACCUAAGUAUUGAGAAAUGGGUUCUAGCGAUUGUAAAAACCUGUAACACGAGCCAAGCAGACACACCUCAAAUACAAUAGAGAGGUGAGGACUGCAAUGAACCCUUACUGUUGCUCUGUGUUUGACAUUAUUACACUGAACCCUUACUGUUGCUCUGUGUUUGACAUUAUUACACUGAACCCUAACUGUUGUUCUGUGUUUGACAUUAUUACGCUGAACCCUUACUGUUGCUCUGUGUUUGACAUUAUUACAAUGAACCCUAACUGUUGUUCUGUGUUUGACAUUAUUACGCUGAACCCUUACUGUUGCUCUGUGUUUGACAUUAUUACACUGAACUCUUACUGUUGCUCUGUGUUUGACAUUAUUACACUGAACCCUUACUGUUGCUCUGUGUUUGACAUUAUUACACUGAACUCUUACUGUUGCUCUGUGUUUGACAUUAUUACACUGAACCCUUACUGUUGCUCUGUGUUUGACAUUAUUACACUGAACUCUUACUGUUGCUCUGUGUUUGACAUUAUUACACUGAACCCUUAUUGUUGCUCUGUGUUUGACAUUAUUACACUGAACCCUUACUGUUGUUCUGUGUUGUACAUUAUUACACUGAACCCUUACUGUUGCUCUGUGCUGUACAUUAUUACACUGAACCCUUACUGUUGCUCUGUGUUGUACAUUAUUACACUGAACCCUUACUGUUGCUCUGUGUUUGACAAUAUCACACUGAACCCUUACUGUUGCUCUGUGCUGUACAUUAUUACACUGAACCCUUACUGUUGCUCUGUGUUUGAUAUUAUUACUCGGAACCCUUACUGUUGUUCUGUGUUUGACAUUAUUACAUUGAACCCUUACUGUUGCUCUGUGUUUGACAUUAUUACAUUGAACCCUUACUGUUAUUCUGUGUUUGACAUUAUUACACUGAACCCUUACUGUUGUUCUGUGUUUGACAUUAUUACACUGAACCCUUACUGUUAUUCUGUGUUUGACGUUAUUACACUGAACCCUUACUGUUGCUCUGUGUUUGACAUUAUUACACUGAACCCUUACUGUUGCUCUGUGUUUGACAUUAUUACACUGAACCCUAACUGUUGUUCUGUGUUUGACAUUAUUCCGCUGAACCCUUACUGUUGUUCUGUGUUGUACAUUAUUACACUGAACCCUUACUGUUGCUCUGUGCUGUACAUUAUUACACUGACCCCUAACUGUUGCUCUGUGUUUGACAUGAUUACACUGAACCCUUACUGUUGUUCUGUGUUUGACAUUAUUACAUUGAACCCUAACUGUUGCUCUGUGUUAUGCAUUAUUACAAUGAACCCUUACUGUUGCUCUAUGUUUGACAUUAUUACACUGAACCC
RNAcentral lists this long non-coding RNA (3952 nucleotides) under Salmo salar (Atlantic salmon). RNAcentral describes it as "lncRNA (ENSSSAG00000090698.1)". Lineage: Eukaryota; Metazoa; Chordata; Actinopteri; Salmoniformes; Salmonidae. The record is from RNAcentral.